RNAcentral lists this unclassified non-coding RNA (369 nucleotides) under Artemisia lactiflora. RNAcentral's name for it is "partial external transcribed spacer". The record is from RNAcentral. Lineage: Eukaryota; Viridiplantae; Streptophyta; Magnoliopsida; Asterales; Asteraceae.
UUUGGUUUGUCACGUGUGGUUGGCUGCGGCGUUUGCAACAACUUCCAUGCUUUCAGACCUCUUCAGUUGUGCGGCAAGGCUUGUAUCGCCUUGUCGUAUUGUGGGUUUUCUGUGUUGAAUACCUAAUCAAUGGUAUCGGUUGGAUUGAUCAAUGUUUCAUUUCGUCUCUCGUUGCAAUCGCGGCGUGAGACGAACCUUGAUGCGGUCUCUUUGGUCCACCUCGUCGAAGCACAUGCUUUGACGUUGUGGCACAUUGAGCAUUGCUUGGUCUCUUGUAUACGGAACAUACAGUGGGCAUGGAUCUAACGAUUCUUCUUUGCCCUCAUGUUAGCGUAACGCUUCUCUUACACGACUUGCUCCACGUUUUAG